AUCAAUGUGAUCUUAGGGGAGUAUAAUAAAUAGAUAAGUAGACCGCGUGUGGAGAUUGGGUGCAAGGAUAAAAUCACAAGAAAAGACGGAAACUAGAAGCGCGGUGGGGCCAGUUGUUGAAAUAGAAGCAUACAUAAGAGCCUUACCUGGCCUUGACAAGUUCGGAACCAUGCAGAAUGAGAGGUUCACUUAGGGAAUCGGAACACAGGUGCUGCAUGGCUGUGUUCAGCUUCGUCGUUAGAUGUUGGGUUAAGUUCCGUAACGAGCGCAACCCUUGUCCUUAGUUACCAGCACAUCGGGUGGGCACUCUAAGGAGUCUGCCGGUGACAAACCGGAGGAAGGUGGGGAUGACGUCAAGUCAUCAUGGCCCUUACGGCCAGGGCUACACACGUGGUACCAUGGUCGGUGCAGAGGGUCAGCAAGCCGCGAGGUGGAGCUAAUUCCAUAAAACCGAUCGUAGUCCGGAUUGCAGUCUGCAACUCGAGUGCGUGAAGUUGGAAUCGCUAGUAAUCGCGAAUCAGAAUGUCACGGUGAAUACGUUCCCGGGCCUUGUACACACCGCCCGUCACACCAUGGGAGUGGGUUGUUCCCGAUGGAGUUGGAUCUAACGGUCAGGAGGGA
This 621-nucleotide ribosomal RNA is filed under the name uncultured Pseudomonas sp. Its description in RNAcentral is "bacterial SSU rRNA". It matches the Rfam family "Bacterial small subunit ribosomal RNA", at positions 828 to 1451 of the family's 1533-position model. The record is from RNAcentral. Lineage: Bacteria; Pseudomonadati; Pseudomonadota; Gammaproteobacteria; Pseudomonadales; Pseudomonadaceae.